RNAcentral lists this ribosomal RNA (492 nucleotides) under uncultured bacterium. RNAcentral's name for it is "partial 16S ribosomal RNA". It matches the Rfam family "Bacterial small subunit ribosomal RNA", at positions 29 to 507 of the family's 1533-position model. The record is from RNAcentral.
AGUGAACGCUGGCGGUAGGCCUAACACAUGCAAGUCGAACGGCAGCACAGUAAGAGCUUGCUCUUACGGGUGGCGAGUGGCGGACGGGUGAGGAAUACAUCGGAAUCUACUUUUUCGUGGGGGAUAACGUAGGGAAACUUACGCUAAUACCGCAUACGACCUACGGGUGAAAGCAGGGGAUCUUCGGACCUUGCGCGAUUGAAUGAGCCGAUGUCGGAUUAGCUAGUUGGCGGGGUAAAGGCCCACCAAGGCGACGAUCCGUAGCUGGUCCGAGAGGAUGAUCAGCCACACUGGAACUGAGACACGGUCCAGACUCCUACGGGAGGCAGCAGUGGGGAAUAUUGGACAAUGGGCGCAAGCCUGAUCCAGCCAUACCGCGUGGGUGAAGAAGGCCUUCGGGUUGUAAAGCCCUUUUGUUGGGAAAGAAAAGCAGCAGGUUAAGACCCCGCUGUUCUGACGGUACCCAAAGAAUAAGCACCGGCUAACUUCGUG